This 490-nucleotide ribosomal RNA is filed under the name uncultured bacterium. RNAcentral describes it as "partial 16S ribosomal RNA". It matches the Rfam family "Bacterial small subunit ribosomal RNA", at positions 30 to 507 of the family's 1533-position model. The record is from RNAcentral.
AUUGAACGCUGGCGGCAGGCCUAACACAUGCAAGUCGAACGGUAACAGGAAACAGCUUGCUGUUUCGCUGACGAGUGGCGGGCGGGUGAGUAAUGUCUGGGAAACUGCCUGAUGGAGGGGGAUAACUACUGGAAACGGUAGCUAAUACCGCAUAACGUCGCAAGACCAAAGAGGGGGACCUUCGGGCCUCUUGCCAUCGGAUGUGCCCAGAUGGGAUUAGCUAGUAGGUGGGGUAACGGCUCACCUAGGCGACGAUCCCUAGCUGGUCUGAGAGGAUGACCAGCCACACUGGAACUGAGACACGGUCCAGACUCCUACGGGAGGCAGCAGUGGGGAAUAUUGCACAAUGGGCGCAAGCCUGAUGCAGCCAUGCCGCGUGUAUGAAGAAGGCCUUCGGGUUGUAAAGUACUUUCAGCGGGGAUGAAGGGAGUAAAGUUAAUACCUUUGCUCAUUGACGUUACCCGCAGAAGAAGCACCGGCUAACUCCGUG